Molecule: unclassified non-coding RNA, 94 nt
Filed under: Apopellia endiviifolia
Lineage: Eukaryota; Viridiplantae; Streptophyta; Jungermanniopsida; Pelliales; Pelliaceae
Description: pre-miR8186
Source: RNAcentral
UUUGUGUGCAUCAGCUUGCAGCAAGCAGAUCCCAGACGUUGACUGGCGGUAGGGGAUGUCUGGUAUCUACUUGCUGCGAUCUGUUUCAGACGGG